CCGUUGCUAUCCCUAACAAUAAAAGGGGACAAGAACAUUGGCCCAAUCACAGAUGGUUUGGCUUGGCUGUAGACAGGCAGCUCUUUUGUAGACAUGAGGUCAAGAACGACGAUUCAAUGGACUUGCACAAUCAUUGUGAUUUGGUUGAUUGUGGAAUCACAUGCUCAAAAGAUUAAAAUGAAUCCAAACCGCUGGGGCCCUCAGUCAAUGAUGUAUCUCAAAGGAAAAUAUGGCACAAGAGAUGUACCUGACUAUGAUGACAGUGUUUACAAAUCAGGGUUGAAUGGCUGGUACACACUUAUUAAAGGGUUCCAAAGGUUGAGGUCACUGAAUUUCAGAAUACCCAGAAGACUUCGAACAACUAAUCCACUACUUGGAGUGUUGAAGAUAGAUGGAUAUUUUGAGGUUGAAGUAGUUUAGUUAUGGGACAAUUUUACCUCAAAGAAUUGUCUUAAGAUGAUGAAGGCUUAAGUAUUUUUUCAUUUACUUUUUCACUGCUGACAUUGUUGAUAUGUUCUUUAUAUGAUAAAAUGGUAGUAAUUUGUGCUGUGUAAAUUUGUACAUGUUCUCUUUAAAAAUGUAUUGCUGGAGAAUUUCAACUGAAAAUGACUGAAUAUUGUAAUAAAUU
Oncorhynchus tshawytscha (Chinook salmon) is the source of this 628-nucleotide long non-coding RNA. The record is from Ensembl. Lineage: Eukaryota; Metazoa; Chordata; Actinopteri; Salmoniformes; Salmonidae.